GUAGGUGGCAAGCGUUGUCCGGAAUUAUUGGGCGUAAAGCGCGCGCAGGCGGUCCUUUAAGUCUGAUGUGAAAGCCCACGGCUCAACCGUGGAGGGUCAUUGGAAACUGGGGGACUUGAGUACAGAAGAGGAAAGCGGAAUUCCAAGUGUAGCGGUGAAAUGCGUAGAGAUUUGGAGGAACACCAGUGGCGAAGGCGGCUUUCUGGUCUGUAACUGACGCUGAGGCGCGAAAGCGUGGGGAGCAGACAGGGAUUAGAUACCCUGGUAGUCCACGCCGUAAGCGAUGAGUGCUAAGUGUUAGGGGGUUUCCGCCCCCUUAGUGCUGCAGCUAACGCAUUAAGCACUCCGCCUGGGGAGUACGGCCGCAAGGCUG
RNAcentral lists this ribosomal RNA (373 nucleotides) under uncultured organism. RNAcentral's name for it is "partial 16S ribosomal RNA". It matches the Rfam family "Bacterial small subunit ribosomal RNA", at positions 527 to 896 of the family's 1533-position model. The record is from RNAcentral.